AAAGCAGAGAAAAGUUACUGCAAUUACUGCUAGACUCUAUUUUGCUCAGAAAGGUUAAAACCCUGUGUAGUGUUUCUAAAUGGGAAAGUAAUUGAGAGUACAGUAAUUUUAGAAUACACAGUGCACUUAGGUGUUCUGGAAACAUAAAAAAUAAAUGUUGUUUUUCCACAACAUGCCUUGUAAACCAUUCUGAACCACUUCCUAGCCAAAAGCCAUUUCUAGUGCAAGCCAAGAACCUGCCAUCUACCUAUCAGCCUCUGUCAAUCAGAAGAACCAUACUGACUAGGACUAGGUGUCACAUCUGCUCCCGCAAGGCCCUCUACAGCUCAUCCUGUGUCUCCUGGACCUUCCGCCACUCCCCCAGUACUCUCUCCCUCUCUCUCUCUCUCUCUCUCUCUGUGUGUGUGUGACUGUGUGGGUGGAGACAGGUGUGCUGGAGUCAGAGCAGAUCCCUACCAGCUGCAACCUAUUCCAUAAUCAAGACCCCGACAAAUACUCAUCCCUGCCACUUCCAAGCUGCCAGAUCGUAAACUCUGCUCAUUUGCCCGCUCUGACUCUGGUCCCUGUCUCCAGUUCCACGUCUCGUCAUCCUGCUACUCUGUCCUGGAUUCCCCACUCUCCUACUCCCUUGGAUUCCCCUCCGGACCUGCUUACCCUGUCCCAACCCCUCUCGCUUCAGCCUCAGCCUCCGUACCUGGUUUUCUGCAACCCACCCGAGCUUCCCCUGGCCUGCAAUCCAACUUCCCCCUGUGUUUCAAUAAAUACCUUGGUUACUUCAUCCCAGUCUCCUCAUCUGAGUCUGCUCUAGGGAUCCCCUGUUCCACUCCGUGUAACACUAGACUACUAACAACAGCAGUUUCAUACAGCCUAUGCGUCCUGUCCAUCUGGCCAGGGUAAAUAAAGUGGUAAUGUUAAGUAUAUAUAAUCCAUUUAUUUGUGUUAGGAGAAAAUGUGUAUGUGAUCAACUUGGUUUAUAUUAAAACUUGGGCUGCCUAUUCCUUUUCUAUCCAAAAUGUUUAACUGGAAUUAAUGAAUCAACAAACAAAAGUGACGACAUUCUGUAGACUAUCAGUAAUUAUUUUUAUUAGACAUACAGUUAUUGUUUAAAUUUAAACAUUAUUUAACUAGGCAAGUCAGUUAAGAACAAAUUCUUAUUUACAAUGACGGCCUACCCCGGCCAAAACUGGACGAAGAUGGGCCAAUUGUGCGCCGCCCUAUGGGACUCCCAAUCACGGCCUGAUGUUAUACAACCUGGAAUCAAAACAGGAACUCUAGUGACGCCUCUUGCACUAAGAUGCAGUGCCUUAGACCGCUGCGCCACUCAGGAGCCCUGCGUAGUUGCAUAGGCCUACACGAUGCAAACAUGCAUAACGCAUGUUCUAUUGUCCAAUCACAGUUGUCUCCGUGUUUGUAGAAGAAACCCUGUUAGUCUAGUUUUAAAAUAUAAUUCAUAUGAACAAGUACAAGGUUGCUGAAGUUUGACAAGAUUUUAAUCCUCCCAGCACCAGUUUUUCCAGGAUUCUUUUUUAAAACCAUGUGACCUGAUAUGUUUUUUUUGUCCCAUUAUACACCAUUGUCACAACUGAUUUAAUCACUGUCAUAUGCUAUAGAGUCUGAAAAAAAUGGCCCACCACUGUCACGUUCUGACCUUAGUUACUUUUUUUUAUGUCUCUAUUUUUGGUUUGGUCAGGGCGUGAGUUAGGGUGGGCAAUCUAUGUUUUUGUUCUAUGUUUUGUAUUUCUGUGUUUGGCCUGGUAUGGUUCCCAAUCAGAGGCAGCUGCCUAUAGUUGCCUUUGAUUGAGAACCAUACUUAGGUAGCCUGUUCCCACCGGUGUAUGUGGGUAGUUGUUUCCUGUUUUGUGUUUUGUCACCUGAUAGGUCUGUUGAGUUUUUUCGUUGU
This is a long non-coding RNA of Oncorhynchus keta (chum salmon), 1900 nucleotides long. RefSeq lists it as uncharacterized. NCBI's taxonomy places the organism in Eukaryota, Metazoa, Chordata, Actinopteri, Salmoniformes, Salmonidae. The transcript has 3 exons. The record is from RefSeq and is a predicted model, not a curated record.